This 225-nucleotide ribosomal RNA is filed under the name uncultured bacterium. RNAcentral describes it as "partial 16S ribosomal RNA". It matches the Rfam family "Bacterial small subunit ribosomal RNA", at positions 114 to 334 of the family's 1533-position model. The record is from RNAcentral.
CGCGUAGGUAACCUGCCUGGUAGUGGGGGAUAACUAUUGGAAACGAUAGCUAAUACCGCAUAAUAACAGUUGUUGCAUGACAACUGUUUGAAAGGUGCAAUUGCAUCACUACCAGAUGGACCUGCGUUGUAUUAGCUAGUUGGUGGGGUAACGGCUCACCAAGGCGACGAUACAUAGCCGACCUGAGAGGGUGAUCGGCCACACUGGGACUGAGACACGGCCCAG